GGGCCUGUAGAUUAGUGGAAGAUCAUUGACUCGCUAAUAACGGGUCAAGCUUACGCUUGGUUCGCAAUCAAGAGGUCACGGGUUCAAUUCCCGUCAGGUCCA
RNAcentral lists this transfer RNA (102 nucleotides) under marine sediment metagenome. RNAcentral's name for it is "tRNA-Ala". It matches the Rfam family "tRNA". Rfam says of the family: Transfer RNA (tRNA) molecules are approximately 80 nucleotides in length. Their secondary structure includes four short double-helical elements and three loops (D, anti-codon, and T loops). The record is from RNAcentral.